RNAcentral lists this ribosomal RNA (466 nucleotides) under uncultured bacterium. RNAcentral describes it as "bacterial SSU rRNA". It matches the Rfam family "Bacterial small subunit ribosomal RNA", at positions 339 to 796 of the family's 1533-position model. The record is from RNAcentral.
GUACGGGAGGCAGCAGUGAGGAAUAUUGCGCAAUGGGGGAAACCCUGACGCAGCGAUGCCGCGUGGGUGAAGAAGGCCUUCGGGUCGUAAAGCCCUGUCAAACGGGAAGAAUAGCUCCGGAGCUAAUAUCUUCGGGGUGUGACGGUACCGUUGAAGGAAGCACCGGCUAACUCCGUGCCAGCAGCCGCGGUAAGACGGAGGGUGCAAGCGUUAUUCGGAUUUAUUGGGCGUAAAGAGCAUGUAGGCGGUCGGUCAAGUCCGAUGUGAAAUCCCGGGGCUUAACCUCGGAAGUGCGUUGGAAACUGGUCGACUUGAGUUCGGGAGAGGAAAGCGGAAUUCCGGGUGUAGAGGUGAAAUUCGUAGAUAUCCGGAGGAACACCGGUGGCGAAGGCGGCUUUCUGGACCGAAACUGACGCUGAGAUGCGAAAGCGUGGGGAGCAAACAGGAUUAGAUACCCGGGUAGUCC